CGACCGCGACCCCAGGUCAGACGGGACUACCCGCUGAGUUUAAGCAUAUCAAUAAGCGGUGGAGAA
This 66-nucleotide ribosomal RNA is filed under the name Plantago patagonica. RNAcentral's name for it is "partial 28S ribosomal RNA". The record is from RNAcentral. RNAcentral also lists the same sequence under 1 other name. Lineage: Eukaryota; Viridiplantae; Streptophyta; Magnoliopsida; Lamiales; Plantaginaceae.